AACACAUUCUAACGUUGCUCUCCGCGUCGCUGUUCUCGGUUUCCCAUAAGCGAGCGACGUUGAUGUGGAGGCUACAGCCAGGUCCAGGCUGACGACUGGAACGAACACCAAAGCCAAUAGUAAUUCAAUGGCUAACGCUGUGAGCUCUUGAACUUUACUGCUGAUUGAUUUAUCUGGCACCAUUAGGACAGGCGACCUGCGCUGUCGUCCAAAAGCACCCUCGUGAUUUUUCCAUAUCUGGGCCAAAUGGCUAUGACAACGGUUUUAUUUUCGAGACCAAUCGUUGAAGAAGUUUUACUAAGGAAGCAUAAAUUGUGUCGGAGAACAAGCAAACAGAACGAGUCGAUAUUUUCGAAAUAGGUUUAAUACACACUAAAGAUGGACUUCCACACGGUUACUGUGCAGCAGGAAAGCUACGAGCUCUAUGUGACGAAGGAAGCUUAAAAGGUCUAUAAAUAUGUUUUUACUACUGCAAAAAAAUGACCUAAAUAGAAGAUAAACAUAGUGAAAAUGCAGCGGAAACUCGAUUAUAGUAUAACGAAAAUACAACGGUUCACCAAUGUCACCGCGUUAGAUAAAGACGAUCAGCUUUUUUGGUUACCCAACAGCUGCAGUUUACUACAUCAUAGACGGAAGAACGGUUCAACAGUAACGGAAUGUACAUAAAUUGCAAAGCUAAUGAUUCAUGAAAGAGGAAAGAUAGUAAAAACUCGAAAACGUAUAGAGGAGAUUCGACGGACGUUUUUGGCGGCUAGAUUUGGCAUGGCUUGACGAAACACCGCUCACGAAGGCCGCAGGUACGUGUCGAAAACAGCGGACCGUUUUCGAUUCUAACGGAAAAGGAUCUGCUAGAAAAGCUACGAUUAAUCGAAGGAGAGACCUAGAGGAUAUCUAAACACGCGAGUAUAACCGACCGUUUUACUAGUAUUCACGUUCCAUACGUAGUUUCCAAUGGUGGCUUUGCCGCAUCGUCUUCAACAAACAUACACGUUUCAACAAGAUAGUACUUUGUUCCAUAUUUUCCGAAUACUGGAGGGGUGGCCAGUUGAACAUAUCGGAAUGGAAACUGUUGGCCAUCUGACAACCCAUAUUUAGCUCAGUUGAAUUAAUACAUGUAGAGCAUAUUAUCUAUAAUACAUGUAGCAUAUAUGAAAUGACAACAAUCACUCGCUCAGUGUUGCCAUGUAUCCGUACAAAAAGGUUUUAUUACUGGACUGCAAGCUGUUUAGUAUCCGAAUUCAAGCCAUGAUCUGACUAAGUAGUAGCUACGUUAAGUUAAGACAUCUGCAAAUUAUACCCCUUUCGUUUAAUGUAAAAACGUUGCGCAAGCAUGUGUUCUCAUCUGGACAAACUUAAGUCAUAUUCAUAAAAUUUUGCUUACGUUUAAAUAGGACUGCAUUUUCUUAUAUUUUUAUAGCAAAAAAUAGAAAGAAAACUACAAUGGGUGGCCAUAUCUUGUCUGUAUUCAAUGCUUUCGUCUAGAUGCUGUUAUACAUUGCUUAGUUAGUUUUCGUAUUUUGGUACAUUUCCAUCUCGAUUUUGUCAAGACCUUUUGUUAAGCGCCUGUACUUAUCAGACCUUUCAUAGACACUGAAAAUAUAUUCAAUGAAUACGAAUGCGUUUUAAGUCACGAUCGUUCAGCAACUGAGGAAAGAGUUUGUAAGUAUGCCCUAUUAGUUUAUAGGGGCACUGCGGCCGAUGCUAUACAAGUCAAUGUACAGUUGCAUGAAAAUACUGACGCUAACAUAUAGACGUAUUUCAAUUCAAGAGUUUUAUCCAGGAUCGUCCUAGGACGUGAAAACAUAUAGAUACUUUUUCUGAACCGUCCAUAGGGGUAUACCACAUGUUCGAGCCGCUUGGCCGACAGGCAGCCAACAGUGCUAUGACAGGGAAUGACAUGCUGUUUAGUUUGGAUGAAUAAAUUUUGCUCGGAUAUGGAUUUUACCAUUGCAGCGGAGGAAAACCUUGACGGAUUUUGGCAGACCUUUGCCUCUUCUUCUUUGUCUGAGGUCUUUACUGCCAAAACUCCUUCAAACGGAAAACGGCUGUAAUUGAGUUUGCGUGUUUGCCUCAGGUGAGCUCGUCCCUGAAGCGCACUAUUGCUGCUGGCCGACAUUGCUCCGAGAAGCUCUUCGAUUUCUUGCGCGAUGCGCUUCUCCUCUGUGCCGGAGCGCACACAGACAUCCUAUCGUCGUCUGCUAACUCCUCCCAUUGCCAGCCUGUUUGCUGGCUUAUCUCUGUUCGAGUGGAUGAGUAACCCUGCCCUUCCGUCCCAUAUCACUCAUAUAAACCUCCUCUCGAGACCCACCUACAGCUAAAACCGAGAAUACGCGAAUACGAUUCUGUUCGAUUCUCGCUUGUUCCUGCUUCAUCCACUGGCCCGUUGAAGCUAUGUCGCAAAUUACGUACCCCUCAAAAAACUCGCUGCGGGCUGUAAGACAACUUUAUCAAAAAAGCCUGUAAUUAUCUGUCUAUAUUAAAUUGCCUUUUAGAAAGCGUUACUUAAUAGAUACCUUAGAUCGCACUAGGUGUAAAAUCAUCUUGAUAUUCUUCGUUCCUACCGCAAUAAUCUUUUUCAAGCAGCGUCUGCUUUUACAAACGAAGUGCCUCAAACAUUACGAAGAUCUAGGAUAGCUUUAGCGUUCCCCAUACCUUAGCUAGGCUUGUGCCUAGAUUAGAAAUUCUAGGAUGUGCGUGCCUGACAAAUCACGUUUGGUCACCUCAUUUAUUCCGUGUAUUAAUUGCUCUUUGUCGCUAAAUGUAAACACUGGCUUUUGCUUACGGUGGUAAGCAUUCACUCAGAGCAGUUUUCGAUUCGACGAUCGUUGGCCAACGCACUUAGACGCAAAAAAAAUACGUACAAUCACGUUAUGGGAUUCAGGCGUUCGGAUGUGCUUAGAUCUGCUAACCCACUCACAAUCUCGGUAGUAAAACGUUCGUCAUGUCUGCUAGCGCUUUCAUUGCGACCUGCAAAACAUUAUACUCACGAACCACGUAUCAUUACUUAUUCUGUAUGAUGUACGAGCGAAAGGCUCUAAUAGUUAUUGAAUAAUUGUUAUUCUAUUUUUCUAUUGCAGUAUCAGCAGGAUCUCUGGAACUUAAAAACUUCCCACCUUUAAUUUUUUUUAGUAACAUUUUGGCUAUAUUAAUCAUUUAAUAUGAAGCACGACAACCGAUAAUACUAACAAAUCCCCUGUCAAAAGACCAAUUUAAAUCGUAGAGUAACUAACUCCAAGACUAACUUAGAUUAUAAUUACUCUUAGGAUGAGAUUGUUUGGCAUUAUCAUGGUGCUUAUACUAAAGGUGUGUUUAUAGAUCUUCACCAGCAGAGGUCCGUUCGUAUGUUAAGUUGCACGGACAACCCCUGCAAGGUCCUAUAUUAGGUUUAACCUUUAAAUCAGUAAAAGAUACAGAGAGAGGAGGCGAUAUACAUGCUUUGCGAAUUCUACUGAGUUUGACGUCAGAUACCACCAUACAAUCCCAGCUCCGCAGUCCCCGUUUCAGGCCUUCGGUCGCCGACGCAGGUGCUUCGUACCUCAUUUCAUCUGUUGGCCCAGUGAGAGAUCGGCUACCGACCAACUGUAUCCCACUGCAUCGCACAGCACAGCCAAUAUUCGUGCUGGUACCGCCUGCUCCUACUGCCAGGCUUAUUCGGGCCACUUAUUAGCGGAUGAGCACUAACGGAGCUGUGUCUGUUCGCAGCGUCAAAGACCGUCGUUGGAUUGAACCUACUGGUAGAAUCGCAUCGCUCUCUUCUUCUUCUUCUUCUUCUCUUGAUGGCGCAGAUCUCGCUGGGAUUUCGUUAGUGGACGUGGAUUACGUUAGAAGAGAGCCUGAAGCUUGUGACGCGGUGAAACUAAAAAUAAAGCCGGGAACGAGGCCGAAAUACCCUAGGUCUCACGUCUCAUGGGGCCGUUUCCUGUCGACGUCAAUGGCAAGAAAGAGAUAUAGCGGCGACAGCAGCUCUAGGGGUCUAGCACAGUAACAGCGACACCGGCGGCUAUACAACUAGUAAGACUCAUCCGUAUCGACGUGGGUCGGCUAUAAUAGAGGUCGCAUGUCUCGUUAUAAUGAAGUCAAGCCACAUAUAAUAUAUACACAUCUACCAGGAGUGUUAGUGGUUGUUCUCCCGGUUUUUUUUUUCUUUGUUUUGUCCAGCUUGUAAAUACGCUUGAAGAAGUAAUCGUAUUGAUUGUUACUGCCAUUGAGUAUGUUAGAGAUACGCUGCGAGAUAGCUCGAGCUAUUGUGAAAUAGGGAAUUUAUUGUAUAUCAAUUUAUAUGUGUAGUAACUGCGGCUAUGCCUGUUGGGCUAGCGAUUCAAACUAUCUGUUUGUGAACGAUGUACUUCAUGCUAUACUACAGUUAUACUAUGUGUCACUGUAACAUAAACGAAGUGGCACACUUCUUCGCAGUAACAAAACAGCUCCAAUCCUAUGUCAGUUAGAUCGUAAGUUACUCUGAAAGGGCUCUUUUAAGCGGUCUUAAGCGACAGUGUUUUUUUGUCAAUAGUAUUAAUUAAGCUAAUCGAGAUACGAUAAAAUAAGCCUUAUUGGUUUAAAUAGUUUUCUAUGACGCGUAAUUGUUUAAACAUCGUUUUUAUUUCUAUCAGAUAUUGGCAAAAAGCUAAUUUGGCUAAAACUAAUUUUUGAGAUAGGCCUUCCUGAAACCAAAAAAUAAAUAAAGCGUUCAUAGCAUUUAGGAAACGUUGGUAGUAUUCGCAAAUGCUUUAUUUGGCUCAAAAAAAAAAA
This 4749-nucleotide long non-coding RNA is filed under the name Varroa destructor (honeybee mite). RNAcentral's name for it is "uncharacterized LOC111254983". Lineage: Eukaryota; Metazoa; Arthropoda; Arachnida; Mesostigmata; Varroidae. The record is from RNAcentral.